This 556-nucleotide ribosomal RNA is filed under the name Alternaria alternata. RNAcentral describes it as "eukaryotic LSU rRNA". The stretch from base 202 to 355 matches the Rfam family "5.8S ribosomal RNA". The record is from RNAcentral. Lineage: Eukaryota; Fungi; Ascomycota; Dothideomycetes; Pleosporales; Pleosporaceae.
GAGGAAGGGCGUAAGUGACCUGCGGAGGGAUCAUUACACAAAUAUGAAGGCGGGCUGGAACCUCUCGGGGUUACAGCCUUGCUGAAUUAUUCACCCUUGUCUUUUGCGUACUUCUUGUUUCCUUGGUGGGUUCGCCCACCACUAGGACAAACAUAAACCUUUUGUAAUUGCAAUCAGCGUCAGUAACAAAUUAAUAAUUACAACUUUCAACAACGGAUCUCUUGGUUCUGGCAUCGAUGAAGAACGCAGCGAAAUGCGAUAAGUAGUGUGAAUUGCAGAAUUCAGUGAAUCAUCGAAUCUUUGAACGCACAUUGCGCCCUUUGGUAUUCCAAAGGGCAUGCCUGUUCGAGCGUCAUUUGUACCCUCAAGCUUUGCUUGGUGUUGGGCGUCUUGUCUCUAGCUUUGCUGGAGACUCGCCUUAAAGUAAUUGGCAGCCGGCCUACUGGUUUCGGAGCGCAGCACAAGUCGCACUCUCUAUCAGCAAAGGUCUAGCAUCCAUUAAGCCUUUUUUUCAACUUUUGACCUCGGAUCAGGUAGGGAUACCCGCUGAACUUAA